CGCUCCACCCCCGCCGUAAAGGCCCGCCCCCAAGCAAAACCCAAGCCGCCGCCACCUUACUGUUCUCCCGCCUCCCUGCAGCCUCGGACCAAUGCGAGACGCUGGCGCCGAUGAGUUGGAGAUUAGAGAGGAGUCACUGCACGUUGAAGCUUGAUAUCCAGUAUUCUAUAACCAUUAUUUUAUAUAUUUUCUCUGAAGUUUUUGGUUGUUACAGGCAGAAAGCCUUAGUCUUCAGGCUUCUGCUUCCUCCUGGGAGAUGAUGACCUUUGAAGACAUUCAGCUAUAAAAGAGACCAGUUUCAUCAACAAUAAAAG
Molecule: long non-coding RNA, 314 nt
Organism: Myotis brandtii (Brandt's bat)
Lineage: Eukaryota; Metazoa; Chordata; Mammalia; Chiroptera; Vespertilionidae
Exons: 3
Source: RefSeq, a predicted model, not a curated record